Molecule: long non-coding RNA, 969 nt
Filed under: Nicotiana benthamiana
Lineage: Eukaryota; Viridiplantae; Streptophyta; Magnoliopsida; Solanales; Solanaceae
Description: long non-coding RNA (NBEN_LNC026283)
Source: RNAcentral
AACUUUUUUCUCAAUUGUUGUCAUGUCUCUCCCUUAUGUUAGAAAAACUAACUUGUUUCCUCAACGUUGGAAAUCUAUUUUUCUGCAUUAUCGUGUUAAUAUAUACUGCACAUCAUUAUUUGGUUCCUGACACUGAACCACGUGUAAGGGGAGAAUAUAAUAUACUCUCGUAUAUAACGUAUAUCAAAUUGAUACAGAUAACUUUGGUCUCAUAAGCAAUAGUUUAGCUAUUAAGUAGAGGCACUCAAUAAAUUAUUUUGCUAAACCAGCUGUGAUAUAAACUAACUUAAUUAUCAAGAUGAACUUCUUGAAUAGAAAAUCUGGAAAUUAUGCUCGAAAUUAAACUACUGAGCAAGUUACCUCGCAAGAACCGGCCAGAUUGCGGGUUAAUAACAAUCACGCAUAUAACCAUCCCAUAGAUGCAUCUUAUGUGGUAUACAUGGCAGGUGAAUGGGCCAAUAUUCACCUUUGAUAUUUCCAAAAUUCAUGGAAUUCAAUCCAAAUUUUAGUUGGUCUAUUAAUUAAUAAGAACAAGCAAUGUAAGAAAAUUCAUAAAGAACUUUCUAGUUCUUUAAUAUUUACCCAUGUGAACUCUCUAUUAUUUUUGCACAUCAUACUUAAAUUGAUAUGGCUAUAUUGAUUGUGUCAACUGAAUAAAUUAUCAAUAUUGAUAAGUUCAUGUUUACACCAUGACAUAUGAUCUUCUCAAUAAACUCCAGGUUUAUUAUGAUAUGGGUUUUUAUAUCAAUAAACAUCCACUUUAUUGUGCUAUUCGUUUAUUUGUGUAGUACAAAUUGAAUAUGGGUUUUUAUAUCAAUAAACAUCCACUUUGUUGCGGUAUUUGUUUAUUUGUGUAGUACAAACUGGAAAAUAAAGCACAAGUUGUAGUAAUAGAAGAAUUAAAUUUUUCCUUUAUUUAUAGUCUCAAUAUAAUCAACCGCUUUUGCGUAUACUUUGGAAACUGAAUAA